UUACAUGGGGGAGGGGGAGAGACUGGGGCUCAGUAGAAUUUUUUUCUUUUAUUUAUUAUUUAUGAUAGUCACAGAGAGAGAGAGAGAGAGAGAGAGAGGGAGGCAGAGACACAGGCAGAGGGAGAAGCAGGCUCCAUGCACCGGGAGCCCGACGUGGGAUCCGAUCCCGGGUCUCCAGGAUCGCGCCCUGGGCCAAAGGCAGGCGCCAAACCGCUGCGCUGGGGCUCAGUAGAGCAGAGAAGUGACAAGUCACGGAGGCUCGGCCAGCCGGCUGCGAUGAGGCAGCUGCACCUGCUCGCUGGCAACCUGUGGGGUCAGAACCUGCUCUCCCCCAGAGCUGGGGGGCGGCCCUGUCCUUCCCGAUGAUUACAUUUCAAAGGGAUGAUUCUCAGGUCCCGGAGAAGGACACUCUGGGCUGUGAGAGGAACAUACUCCCAGUGGUCAGCCCUUUCUAACAGAUGCCCAAGAAAGGGAAGCCAGGAGCCUGGGGUCAGGAUUGGCUGCAACAAAGAGGAAAUUCCCCUGGCGCUUGAACUCUCUCAAUGGGGCGUCUUAGUGGGGGGCUGCAUCUCCAAGGGGGCUAGAGCCCUCCUGGGGACGUGCUCUUAGGUUGCUAGAAAACGUGCGAGUUUGGUCACAUGUCUUCGUGCAGAAGUUUGCAUGAGUCGUUAUCCGCGGAAAGUCCUGCAGCUCUCAGAAUUACAUUUAGGGAAGGAGAAGAAAUGGUUUCAAUUGUAUUUUUAAUAUUCUGUGUUGUGCCCAAGACUGCGAAUCUGAGAAAACCACCAAGGAGCCGACACGGAUGCAAGGGGAUGAUGCAGAGCCGCAUGUUAUUAUACCCACUUCCAAGCCCAGGACCUUACCAGGAUGUUCAGUCCUUCUGUGGGGAAAAUUUCUUUUAACAUGGAGAUGAGGGUUUUGGUGACAACCAUCAAAAAAGAGUAAAAGGCAUGACUCUAGGUCAAUUUACCAUCCUAAUUUCAAGACCUCCACUGCAUCACUUCAAUUGCUGGUGGGUUUUCAGAAGCUUUUCUAAAAUGGUUUUAAACACUAUUAUUAUAUUGAGGUGCCUCAGUGACUCAGUUGGUUAAGUGUCUGCCUUUGGCACAGGUAAUGAUGCCAGGGUCCUGGGAUGGAGGCCCCAGGCAGGGUCCCUGCUCAGUAGGGAGCCUGCUUUUCCCUCUUCCUCUGCCACUCCCCCUGCUUGUGUGCUCUGUCAAAUAAGUAAGUAAAAUAUUUUUUAAAUGUUUCAACUUAUUAAAAAAAUUCUAUCAGUUAUUUGACAAGCAACUGUUCACUCGCUGACGUGUUUCCAAUCCUUGGGGCUCAUGGGUGGCUCAGUGAGUCAAGCGUCUGCCUUUGGCUCAGGUCAUGAUCCCAGGAUCCUGGGUUUGAGCCCCACAUUGGGCUCCCUGCUCAGCAGGAAAUCUCCCUCUCCCUCUGCCACUCCCCCUGCCUGUGCUCUCUCUCUCUCUCUGUCUCUGUCAAAUAAAUAAAAUCUCAUUUUAAAAAGGUGUUUCUAGAAGAUCUCUGGGUGGCUCAGUGGUUUAGUGCCUGCCUUUGGCCCAGGGCGCGAUCCUGGAGUCCUGGCAUCUAGUCCCACGUCGGGUUCCCAGCAUGGAGCCUGCUUCUCCCUCCUCCUGUGUCUCUGCCUCUCUCCCUCUCUCUCUCUCAUAAAUAAAUAAAUAAAUAAAUAAAUAAAUAAAUAAAUAAAUAAAUAAAUAAAUAAAUCUUUUACAAAAAAGGUGUGUCUAAUCCUCAAGUAUAAUUCAUGUUUAGCAUAAUUAGUGAUUGCUUUACACUCUGUGUGGUAAAAAUAUUAUUUCAUGAAAAAUAUGUCACUUGACAUUUCAAGCAUUCUUCCCCUUAUAGAAGUAAAGGCAAAGCUUCUGACUACCCCUCUUUUUACCAAGGCCAGAGCUUCAUGAGCAUGCAGCCUGUGCAACAGCUCAAGACCCAUGCUUAGAAGGGCCUGUACUCGGUGCAGGGCUCUGCUACUGCCAUCUUGAAAUUCCUAAUGAUUUUGGAACAGGAGGUCUUUUCUUUUCCUUUUGUACAGGCCCUCCCCCCGCCGCCAAAUUACAUAGCCAGUCCUGGAUAGGGUCAAUACAGUAUUAAUACACACUUGACAUUAUUUAAUGAUAAUAUUUUCUGGAGUUAGAUCAUUUGUCCUUUACUCACCCACCUGUUCUGUGUUCUGCUGAGUUCACUCUGAGUUCAUGACAUUCACCAAGAUGACAUCCUUUUUUCCUCCAGUGGUAAUUCUAGGAAUCUGGUUGUUAGGUGAAGUCCUUGAAACUUUGGUUCCUCUUUCUUGAACAGGUUCUACUGGUUUACUUUCCAUGGUGUUUGGUGUUUGCUCAUGUUUGGCUUGUUAACAUCGAAGCUGCAGUUACCACAGACCUCAGUGGUAGGGGAGUCCUCUGCCAAGAAGCCUCUGCUCCUCGUUCUCUUGCUCUGGCUCAGGGUCAUCCACACUUUCCCCCCACCUUGCCUCAUUUUCUGGCAGGAUAAACACCACACUGGGUUGUUUGACUCCAAGCUUGGAGUUUGACUCCGAGCUGCUCCCCCUUGCUAAUGAGUGUGUUUGUCAUCAUAAGCUUUUCUUCUUGCUCUGAAUCUGGUUUGUCCACAUUUUCCCCAAUACACCUCACUUACUGAGAUGACAAGGACCACACUAGGACCACAGAACAUUUUCUAGAUGGCUGCAAAUUUUUAUGGGUGUAACUUCUGAGUGUUUUGUGCUUUAAAAAAAAAUCUCACUGUCCUGCCAUUUACCUCAAUUGUUAUGUACUUAAAAAAAAAACUACAAGUUAUUUAUAAAAAAAUAGAUACAAAUCCCAACUACAUGAGACUACAAGUAGAAUUUGUUAAAUUUUGGUAGUGGCUCUCUGCUUUAAAAAAAAAAAAGCCCUUUUCAAGAGAUAGAGAUGAUUUUUAUUAUGAAAUCAUCUGUUUAUAUUUUCUUACAUUUCUCCUUCCUUCUAAUUUUAAGAAUAUUUCAUCCAUAAAUGAGGAAAUCUUUCUGCUCUUGUGUUUCUCUAUAUCCCUCUGGACCAAAGGGAGUUGGAAUCCCCUUAUUUAUAACCCAGUGCUGUGCUAAGGUGCUGCUGAUGGUGGUGACCGUCUGGGACUGUGCACAGUGCAGCCAUUCCAAGAUGCGUGUCUAAAAAAGGCACACCCGGUCAUCCACAUAGGAUAUGUUACCUGCCUGCAUUUGUGCAGAUAAUUGUACCCCCACACCCAGAUAGGAAGGUGUAGAAUUAUGCUGUAUUAUCCUUGGACAAAAUCAAGUUGCAAUUUUUCUAAAGGGAAAAUUUAGGUCUCUCUUUUUUAAAAAAAGAUUGUAUUUAUUUAUUCAUGAGAGACACAGAGAAAGAGGCAGAGACACGGGUAGAGGGAGAAGCAAACUCCCCGCAGGGAGCCCGAUGUGGGACUUGAUCCCAGGACCCUAGGAUCACGCCCUGAGCCAAAGGCAGGCAUUCAACCACUGAGCCACCCAGGUGUCCCAAAUGAGAAAAUUUAGGUCUCUUGGUUUUAAAUGAAACUUUUAUAAAAAAUAAAAAUAUUUUCCAUCUAUUAUUUGCUGUUCUUUGCCAUAUAAUUAUAUAAUUUAUAUUUUAUUAUGUGUACUUAAUUCAUAUUUUGACACAUAGUUUAUUCUCAAUAAAUAUUUGUUAAAUGAACUAAGGGAGGGGGUUGAAGUAUUUUUUAAUGAAGCCAUUCACCUAGACCGCUGGUUGGGAUUGAGGCAGGUAGGGAUUGUGAAUUCGUCCGUGUGGCCAAUUGUUAUGUUAGUUUGUAGAGUUUAUUUCAGUUUUCAUUAUAAUAUUAUUACACCAUUUCUUUUAACAAGAGAUAAAUGAUGAUAGCCUUUGUUCUUUUAUUCAUAUUUGAGCAAUCUCUUCUUGAUUUUCAUGUAUUCCUAGGUGAAGGUGAAGACCUAAUAAAUUGUAUUAAUCUAUUGCCACAUUAAAAAUUACCCCAAAACUCAGUGUCCUAAAAUACUGAUUAUCUCACAAUAUCUGUGUGUCAAGAAUUUAGGAGCAGGUGAGUGGAUGUUCUGAGUCAGGGUCUCUUGAGGUUAGUCAAGAUGUUGGCCAGGUUUGCAGUUAUGUAGUCAUCUGAAGGCUUCACGGGGGCUGGAGGAUCUGCUUCCAUGGUGGCUCACUCACAUGCCUGACAAGUUGGUGUUGGCUCAGGGUCCUCUCCAAAUAAGUCUUUCCCUGGGCUACUUGAAUGUUCUUUUCACAUGGAGUCUGCCUUCCCCUAGAGUGAGAGGUUAAGACAGACCAAGAUUGAAGUCACAAUAUUUUUUUGACCUAGCCUCAAAAGUUACACACCCAUCAUUUCUGCAAUAUCCUAUUGGUUACACAAGUCGGCUCUGUUCAACAUGGGAGGGAACUACAAAAACAGCUUGAACACUCAAAGGCAAAAAAUCACUGAGAGCCCUCUUAGAACCUGUCACUUGAGGUAACAUGAAAUCAGAUGCAUCAUCAUUGUCCAACCAACUUGUCCCUGAGAUCCCUGCCCAGAGCAUCUCAGCUCUGCUUGAGCUACUUUUCCCCUGAACUUGUGAAGGACUCUUAACAGGCCCCCUCAUGCAGGCACUGAGUGAUACAGACCGUGUACUCUCACUCUGACAAUGAUAACCACUUUUGAGUUCUUUUGUAGCCUCCAUUACACCAAAUGUAGGGCUGGAAGUAUAGAUGGAGUCCAGGAGUUCUUGUUGAAUAUUAAAAUAUUGAUUUCUGUUUCAAAAUACUAAUUUUUGAGCUUCAGAAUUCUUUUUUUAAAUUUUUUAAAAAAUUUUUAUUUAUUUAUGAUAGAGAGAGAGAGGGGCAGAGACACAGGCAGAGGGAGAAGCAGGCUCCAUGCACCGGGAGCCCAACGUGGGAUUCGACCCCAGGUCUCCAGGAUUGCGCCCUGGGCCAAAGGCAGGCGCCAAACUGCUGCGCCACCCAGGGAUCCCUGAGCUUCAGAAUUCUAAACUUUCCCAGGAAUUUUUCUUUUUCUCCUACAAGGGCAGAUGUCUUCAUAAUUAUCAAAAUUACUUCAGUUAUUUGUGACUUUAAAAUCCCAUUAGGAUCUGCAUUCCAAGAUUCUUUAAACUACUGAAGCCCAACAUUUAAUUUAAUGAUAAACAAAACCAAGUCAAUUCCCAUUCACAAAUGACAAAUCAACGGUUGGCAACAAUUUCAACAUCUGCUUUUAAUUCACUUAAAAGCGUUAAGCAAACAGUGAUUAAAAAGAAAAACCUAGAAACUAUAGUAUUUCUCCAUUAUUCUUCUAGUAGUUGUCCUUACUAACCAAAGCUGACUUUUAUUUAGUAAGUUAUGUAGAUGGACCCGAAAUAAACAUUUUGAUGGAGAUUGACCCAUUCCUGGGUCUGGGAUGGUUAUGUUUUAAUGUGGGAGCCUUUCCUCAUUCCAAAUUUGUUCUCAAAUAUUCCAGACAAAGGACUCUUGUUAGGGUUGAGUCACUGCUUGUUGGAAAUAGGGAUAGUAAACAAUAUAUUAGCUGGAACUAGCCUAAAUUUUUAAAACUUACUGCUUUUUGUGAGUUCACACGCACAACCUAUAAACAGUAUUCUUAGACAAUGGCUGUGCUAUUCUUUAUGUGUGAUCUGUCUCCAGUCACCUCAUGCUCUUAUAGUCACCCUUUGUUUUAGGUAUAUGUCUUGCCAAAUAAAAUAGUGAGCAAGGAACCAUCUAAGGUUAUUAAAUUUAGUUACAUGAUAUAUGCUCUUUUAACAAUAUCUAUAAAAAAAUACAGGUAUGUUAUAUUUUCUAUUGAAUAUGUUAUUUCCAGGCUGGUUUCUCCAGUACCCACACUUUAAGUUGUACAUUUUAUCACUGUCAUUUCCACAUGCUAAAUCCACU
This 5882-nucleotide long non-coding RNA is filed under the name Canis lupus familiaris (dog). RNAcentral's name for it is "lncRNA (ENSCAFG00000059304.1)". Lineage: Eukaryota; Metazoa; Chordata; Mammalia; Carnivora; Canidae. The record is from RNAcentral.